CCUACGGGUGGCAGCAGUGGGGAAUAUUGCACAAUGGGGGGAACCCUGAUGCAGCGACGCCGCGUGAAGGAAGAAGGUCUUCGGAUUGUAAACUUUUGUCUUUGGGGACGAAAAACUGACGGUACCCAAGGAGGAAGCCACGGCUAACUACGUGCCAGCAGCCGCGGUAAUACGUAGGUGGCGAGCGUUGUCCGGAUUUACUGGGUGUAAAGGGCGUGUAGGCGGGUUUUUAAGUCCGGUGUGAAAUCCCACGGCUCAACCGUGGAAUUGCACUAGAAACUGGAAAUCUUGAGUGCUGGAGAGGAAAGCGGAAUUCCUAGUGUAGCGGUGAAAUGCGUAGAUAUUAGGAGGAACACCAGUGGCGAAGGCGGCUUUCUGGACAGUAACUGACGCUGAGGCGCGAAAGCGUGGGGAGCAAACAGGAUUAGAUACCCGUGUAGUC
Molecule: ribosomal RNA, 442 nt
Filed under: uncultured bacterium
Lineage: Bacteria
Description: bacterial SSU rRNA
Rfam family: Bacterial small subunit ribosomal RNA
Source: RNAcentral